ACCCUGAAUUAUCAAAGAAAAAAGGUUUUAAUCACCUGGUCCGUUUCUUUUGGAGAGGAAGAAGACCUCUUGGAUACUUCGGCUCCCGUUAAAAAAAAACCCCUGAAUGUUUGGAUCAGAUAAAGAUUCGUUCAGAUGAAUGAGAGAAGAGCUGAGCGGUUUGUCACCAACGUUUCACAACGUGCACAUUGGGCAAGUUUUUGAAAAACUCCCGUAACAGAUGAUAACCAUGAAAGCGAGACAGCGAGCAGAUCUUUGAAGUGCAGCUGUCAGUCAACGUGUUUCCAGAGUGGGAACUACGAGGGUAAAAUGACGUACAGAUUUGUUUAGAUGAAUGAAAGAAGAGCUGAGCGGUUUCCUCGAACGUGCCAUGAGAGUGACGAGUGGUGCAUGCAGAAAAAGAAGCACA
Plectropomus leopardus (leopard coralgrouper) is the source of this 409-nucleotide non-coding RNA. Lineage: Eukaryota; Metazoa; Chordata; Actinopteri; Perciformes; Serranidae. The record is from RefSeq and is a predicted model, not a curated record.